UCCUGGGUUGUGUAAUGGUAGCACGACGCCCUUUGAAGGCGUUUGUCUAGGUUCGAAUCCUAGCCCAGGAGCCA
RNAcentral lists this transfer RNA (74 nucleotides) under Elusimicrobia bacterium RIFOXYA12_FULL_51_18. Its description in RNAcentral is "tRNA-Gln". It matches the Rfam family "tRNA". Rfam says of the family: Transfer RNA (tRNA) molecules are approximately 80 nucleotides in length. Their secondary structure includes four short double-helical elements and three loops (D, anti-codon, and T loops). Further hydrogen bonds mediate the characteristic L-shaped molecular structure. tRNAs have two regions of fundamental functional importance: the anti-codon, which is responsible for specific mRNA codon recognition, and the 3' end, to which the tRNAs corresponding amino acid is attached (by aminoacyl-tRNA synthetases). tRNAs cope with the degeneracy of the genetic code in two manners: having more than one tRNA (with a specific anti-codon) for a particular amino acid; and 'wobble' base-pairing, i.e. permitting non-standard base-pairing at the 3rd anti-codon position. Lineage: Bacteria; Pseudomonadati; Elusimicrobiota. The record is from RNAcentral. RNAcentral also lists the same sequence under 1 other name.